This 252-nucleotide ribosomal RNA is filed under the name uncultured bacterium. Its description in RNAcentral is "partial 16S ribosomal RNA". It matches the Rfam family "Bacterial small subunit ribosomal RNA", at positions 524 to 776 of the family's 1533-position model. The record is from RNAcentral.
UACGGAGGGUGCAAGCGUUGUCCGGAAUCACUGGGCGUAAGGGCGCGUAGGCGGCUCGGUAAGUAGGGGGUGAAAUCCUGCGGCUUAACCGCAGGGCUGCCUUCUAAACUGUCGAGCUCGAGCACGGUAGAGGCAGAUGGAAUUCCCGGUGUAGCGGUGGAAUGCGUAGAGAUCGGGAAGAACAUCAGUGGCGAAGGCGGUCUGCUGGGCCGUUGCUGACGCUGAGGCGCGACAGCGUGGGGAGCAAACAGG